GGUUAUGUGGAUUAGAUACCCGGGUAGUCCACGCCGUAAACGAUGAGUGCUAGACGUCGGGGGGCUUGCCCUUCGGUGUCGCAGCUAACGCAUGAAGCACUCCGCCUGGGGAGUACGGCCGCAAGGUUAAAACUCAAAGGAAUUGACGGGGGCCCGCACAAGCGGUGGAGCAUGUGGUUCAAUUCGACGCAACGCGCAGAACCUUACCAGCCCUUGACAUGCAGGGUCGCGGGAACCGGAGACGGUUCCCU
RNAcentral lists this ribosomal RNA (251 nucleotides) under uncultured Alphaproteobacteria bacterium. RNAcentral describes it as "partial 16S ribosomal RNA". It matches the Rfam family "Bacterial small subunit ribosomal RNA", at positions 767 to 1015 of the family's 1533-position model. Lineage: Bacteria; Pseudomonadati; Pseudomonadota; Alphaproteobacteria. The record is from RNAcentral.